GAUGAACGCUAGCGGCAGGCCUAACACAUGCAAGUCGAGGGGCAGCACGUCUUCGGAUGGUGGCGACCGGCGCACGGGUGCGUAACGCGUAUGCAACCUACCUCUUACAGUGGGAUAGCCCAGGAGAAAUUUGGAUUAAUACCGCAUAGUAUACAGAUUCAGCAUUGGGGACUGUAUUAAACAUUUAUGGGUAAGAGAUGGGCAUGCGUUCUAUUAGUUAGUUGGAGUGGUAACGGCACCCCAGACAGCGAUAGAUAGGGCCCUGAGAGGGGGAUCCCCCACACUGGUACUGAGACACGGACAGACUCCUACGGGAGCAGCAGUGAGGAAU
RNAcentral lists this ribosomal RNA (331 nucleotides) under uncultured bacterium. RNAcentral describes it as "bacterial SSU rRNA". It matches the Rfam family "Bacterial small subunit ribosomal RNA", at positions 28 to 362 of the family's 1533-position model. The record is from RNAcentral.